This 254-nucleotide unclassified non-coding RNA is filed under the name plant metagenome. RNAcentral describes it as "partial contains small subunit ribosomal RNA, internal transcribed spacer 1, and 5.8S ribosomal RNA". The record is from RNAcentral.
UCUCCGUAGGUGAACCUGCGGAGGGAUCAUUACAGAGUUUUUGCCCGCAAGGGUAGAUCUCCCACCCUAUGUUAUUCCUUCUCUGUUGCUUUGGCGGGCCGUCCGGCCUCGGUCAGGCCACCGGCUCCGGCUGGUGCGCGCCCGCCAGAGGACCCAAACUCUUGUCGUUUUCAGUAUCAGUGAUAACUCUGAGUGGCACGUCAGUGCAAUAAAAAAAUGAAUCAAAACUUUCAACAACGGAUCUCUUGGUUCUG